Molecule: ribosomal RNA, 491 nt
Filed under: uncultured bacterium
Lineage: Bacteria
Description: partial 16S ribosomal RNA
Rfam family: Bacterial small subunit ribosomal RNA
Source: RNAcentral
AGUGAACGCUGCGGUAGGCCUAACACAUGCAAGUCGAACGGCAGCACAGUAAGAGCUUGCUCUUCCGGGUGGCGAGUGGCGGACGGGUUAGGAAUACAUCGGAAUCUACUUUUUCGUGGGGGAUAACGUAGGGAAACUUACGCUAAUACCGCAUCCGACCUACGGGUGAAAGCAGGGGAUCUUCGGACCUUGCGCGUUUGAAUGAGCCGAUGUCGGAUUAGCUGGUUGGCGGGGUAAAGGCCCACCAAGGCGACGAUCCGUAGCUGGUCUGAGAGGAUGAUCAGCCAAACUGGAACUGAGACACGGUCCAGACUCCUACGGGAGGCAGAAGUGGGGAAUAUUGGACAAUGGGCGCAAGCCUGAUCCAGCCAUACCGCGUGGGUGAAGAAGGCCUUCGGGUUGUAAAGCCCUUUUGUUGGGAAAGAAAAGCAGCAGGUUAAUACCCCGCUGUUCUGACGGUACCCAAAGAAUAAGCACCGGCUAACUUCGUG